RNAcentral lists this ribosomal RNA (338 nucleotides) under Escherichia coli. Its description in RNAcentral is "bacterial LSU rRNA". It matches the Rfam family "Bacterial large subunit ribosomal RNA", at positions 2610 to 2925 of the family's 2925-position model. The record is from RNAcentral. Lineage: Bacteria; Pseudomonadati; Pseudomonadota; Gammaproteobacteria; Enterobacterales; Enterobacteriaceae.
UUUAGAACGUCGUGAGACAGUUCGGUCCCUAUCUGCCGUGGGCGCUGGAGAACUGAGGGGGGCUGCUCCUAGUACGAGAGGACCGGAGUGGACGCAUCACUGGUGUUCGGGUUGUCAUGCCAAUGGCACUGCCCGGUAGCUAAAUGCGGAAGAGAUAAGUGCUGAAAGCAUCUAAGCACGAAACUUGCCCCGAGAUGAGUUCUCCCUGACUCCUUGAGAGUCCUGAAGGAACGUUGAAGACGACGACGUUGAUAGGCCGGAUGUGUAAGCGCAGCGAUGCGUUGAGCUAACCGGUACUAAUGAACCGUGAGGCUUAACCUUACAACGCCGAAGCUGUU